UUUUUAAAUUGCUGUGGUAUUGUGACUAUACAAAGGUAUUGUAAUAAGGCUUUAAAUGGGCGCUAAGAGAAUGGUUUAACAAGGAUUGACUUUCUUAUUUUCUAUAAUGGAAUUUAAUUUAAAAAUGAAAAAGUUUUUAUAAAAUUUUGGGACAAGAAGACCCUGUGAAUUUUUCAGUAAUGAGGUUGUGAAUUAGUUAUAAUAAUUAAUAAGUUUUAUUAAUGUUGAUUGGGGUGAUUUUUAAAGAUUAUUAAUCUUUAAAAAGAUUAUAAAAUAGAACCAUUAUUAAUGGAUGUUUGUAAAAAUACUCCAGGGAUAACAGCGUAAUAACUUUGGAUAGAUCCUAUAGAUAAAGUGGUUUGCGACCUCGAUGUUGGAUUAAGAUUCUUUUAAGAUGAAGAAGUCUUGAAAAGAAGUUUGCUCAACUUUUAAAAUCUUACUUGAUCUGAGUUC
This 453-nucleotide ribosomal RNA is filed under the name Ornithodoros sonrai. RNAcentral's name for it is "partial 16S ribosomal RNA". The stretch from base 315 to 453 matches the Rfam family "Bacterial large subunit ribosomal RNA", at positions 2473 to 2612 of the family's 2925-position model. Lineage: Eukaryota; Metazoa; Arthropoda; Arachnida; Ixodida; Argasidae. The record is from RNAcentral.